UAGAAAUAGAGCCUCUAUUCCAAGCUCCAAAUGCAGCUUGAUCAAAGAGCCUAACUUGGUCAAGUUAUAGCUAGAAUUGCUAGCUAGAAUGAAAGAUUCUCAUUGCCUUGUUUUAUCUGGCACAGAAGCCUGCUAGAACAUUAUUUCAGGAGACAAGGGGAAAGUGCUUUUAUCUGUAGCCCUUUUGGCCAAAAAAAGGACUGGAUUGUAGCUGGCUUGAUGGUUAACUGCAGUUGUUAGCAGUCAAAGCAAUCUGACAAAAGAAAGUAAAAUAAGAGGUUUUCACUGGAUCGUUCUGAUGCAUGAAGCUAAGAAUCUUAAAAACUAUGGAGAGAAUGGGAAGUGCAUUUUCUCUGUUCCUAAUGCAACAUCAUUAACAGCUCCAGCUGACACUUUCUGAAAGGCCAAUGGACGCUUUCCAGACACCAUUCUACUCCUUUCCCAUUUCCUCUUGUUUACCGAGUGUUUUUUAAACCCUCCAGGCAAAGCUGUGCUUACAGAAAUGCUCUCCCAUCACACUUCUGGAGAUCGGCUCAGACAGCAGGGCUACCACCUCUCCUGCAAGACUGAAAACCAGAAAAAAUUCCUCAUAUUUUACCUUUAUUUUUAUACUGUUCUUUUGGUAAAUAGAGCAGUGUAACUCACAGGCACAGAACACAUGGUUUAUGCGCCACAAGGACAUUUGCCACAAGUUUAAAAUAAUUUUGAGACAGUGGUGGCUGUACUUUCAUCGAUGGUUUCAGUUUUUGUCAGAGCAGCUUCUUGCUUUUCCUCCUCUGAGUCACAACUUUGUGCCUGGCAGCAUGGGAUCCUCUGCAGCAUUUUGUCCUCCUGCAACUCAUCUUUGAUGUUGCUGUUAGUCUGUUAGUCUGCCUGUUCUGGGACUACACAGGAGGCUUGAUCUGCUGCUGCUGCUGGAGAGUGCUCUGCAGGGUGGUUCCUCUUGAACCACUGCCAAUCCUGCAGGAGGGACUCCAGCCAUUCUGUUGAAGCAUCUUGCCUAAGCUGUCAUUCUCCAAAGGGCACUCCUUUUCAACAUUGUAAGCCCACUUGGUUUCCCUGGUCAGUGUGGAUUUCCCUUCACAUAAUGGUUCAAAUUAAGUGUCUCCAUCCUUCGGUAAAUUGGGGAUGUGUGUGACUGCCUCCCAAAGUGGCAAGAAGUACAAAAGGGAAAAAUGAAAGAAUGUGGACUGGAGUCCCUGGAUGUUUUCCACCAUCCGGUCCUUAAUGCUCGCCACGAGUUCCUUGCUUCCCACGCUGGCUGCCAAGCACCAGACAAGAGUUAGGGGAUGGCUGGGUCAGCGAGGGCUGUGCUGCAGCCCCGUCUGCUAAAGGAAACGUUCCUCUACUCUAAGAAGACACUGAAAUAGUUGAGCUGACAGCAUCUGCUUCCUCUUAAACAGCUAUUUUACUCCUACAUUUGACAGAUGGACCAGUGACAGGGAGAUGAGUGCUGAAAGCCUCCGGCUAAUUUUACUGAUUUGGAAACAUAGCUGAGAAACACAUGUAUUUUUAUCCCUCCCUAUUUUCACAGAGAUUUUACUCCUUCCAUUCAGCAAAUGCCAGAGCUACAAAUCAGACUUAAAUUUAAUUUAGCAAGAAAUGGAGUUGAAGGUGGAGAUGUGAAGGUUUGGCUGAUCUAAAGCAACCGUUUGGCCAACCUAAACCACUUCACCCAGUUUCAUGUUUUUGCAGGCCAGGUGAAUAUUUCAAACAUAAUUAGCAAAUGUAUUUUCAGUGCAGAGACUGCUUCUGGAGCAGGAGGACCUACUUUUGAUUUUCAUGCCUGAACUAACCAGCUGGAUUGCCUACCCUACUUGGAAUGUGCUCCAAAUACAGAGGCUGCUC
Molecule: long non-coding RNA, 1848 nt
Filed under: Numida meleagris (helmeted guineafowl)
Lineage: Eukaryota; Metazoa; Chordata; Aves; Galliformes; Numididae
Description: lncRNA (ENSNMEG00000015849.1)
Source: RNAcentral